This 453-nucleotide ribosomal RNA is filed under the name uncultured soil bacterium. RNAcentral describes it as "bacterial SSU rRNA". It matches the Rfam family "Bacterial small subunit ribosomal RNA", at positions 26 to 481 of the family's 1533-position model. The record is from RNAcentral.
AGAUUGAACGCUGGCGGCAUGCCUAACACAUGCAAGUCGAACGGGAGUAGCAAUACUCUAGUGGCGGACGGGUGAGGAAUACGUAGGAAUUUGCCCUUAAGUGGGGGAUAACCCGGGGAAACCCGGAUUAAUACCGCAUGACCUCGAAAGAGCAAAGUGGGGGAUCGCAAGACCUCACGCUUUUGGAGAAGCCUACGUCGGAUUAGCUAGUUGGUGAGGUAAUGGCUCACCAAGGCGACGAUCCGUAACUGGUCUGAGAGGAUGAUCAGUCACACCGGAACUGAGACACGGUCCGGACUCCUACGGGAGGCAGCAGUGGGGAAUAUGGACAAUGGGCGCAAGCCUGAUCCAGCAAUGCCGCGUGUGUGAAGAAGGCCUUCGGUUGUAAAGCUACUUUAAGGUUAGGGAAGAAAAACUCGACGUACUAACACAGUGAGUCUUGAACGGUACCGA